This is a long non-coding RNA of Lycium ferocissimum, 357 nucleotides long. RefSeq lists it as uncharacterized. NCBI's taxonomy places the organism in Eukaryota, Viridiplantae, Streptophyta, Magnoliopsida, Solanales, Solanaceae. The transcript has 3 exons. The record is from RefSeq and is a predicted model, not a curated record.
AGCAUGCUUCGCCAGCGGGUCCACUAGAGCCACCCACUCAAGCGUUUUCUCAUGGGUCUGCCGAGCCAGCGGUGUCUUCCCAUAUGACCACCGAGCCACAGGAUUCGGCGCCAGUGGGUCCACAGGAGCGACCCAUUCAGGAGCAUUCUCAUCAGCCUGCCGAGGCAGAGGUGUCUUCUCAUGAGACUACCGAGGCGCAUCAUCUCGUCCAGGAGACUACCUCAUAUUCACCACCACACCCAUCUCAGGAGCCUACAGACCCAUCUCAGGAGCCUACUCAGGCGCCCGUUGACACACAGGUUUGAUUAAAUAAAUAACGUUAAUGUAUUCAAUAUAAAUAAGAAAUGGUACUAAUUA